This is a non-coding RNA of Ictidomys tridecemlineatus (thirteen-lined ground squirrel), 69 nucleotides long. NCBI's taxonomy places the organism in Eukaryota, Metazoa, Chordata, Mammalia, Rodentia, Sciuridae. The record is from Rfam.
GGGGUUGUAGCUCAGUGGUAGAGCGCUUGCCUAGCAUGUAGCAUGCAUUAGGUUCGAUUCUCAGCACCA